GACGAACGCUGGCGGCGUGCUUAACACAUGCAAGUCGAAUGGAAAGGCCCAGCUUUUGUGGGGUGCUCGAGUGGCGAACGGGUGAGUAACACGUGAGUAACCUGCCCUUGACUUUGGGAUAACUUCAGGAAACUGGGGCUAAUACCGGAUAGGAGCUCCUGCUGCAUGGUGGGGGUUGGAAAGUUUCGGCGGUUGGGGAUGGACUCGCGGCUUAUCAGCUUGUUGGUGGGGUAGUGGCUUACCAAGGCUUUGACGGGUAGCCGGCCUGAGAGGGUGACCGGCCACAUUGGGACUGAGAUACGGCCCAGACUCCUACGGGAGGCAGCAGUGGGGAAUAUUGCACAAUGGGCGGAAGCCUGAUGCAGCAACGCCGCGUGCGGGAUGACGGCCUUCGGGUUGUAAACCGCUUUCGCCUGUGACGAAGCGUGAGUGACGGUAAUGGGUAAAGAAGCACCGGCUAACUACGUG
This 468-nucleotide ribosomal RNA is filed under the name uncultured bacterium. RNAcentral's name for it is "partial 16S ribosomal RNA". It matches the Rfam family "Bacterial small subunit ribosomal RNA", at positions 28 to 507 of the family's 1533-position model. The record is from RNAcentral.